Non-coding RNA from Sapajus apella (tufted capuchin), 539 nucleotides. NCBI's taxonomy places the organism in Eukaryota, Metazoa, Chordata, Mammalia, Primates, Cebidae. The record is from the annotation of a RefSeq genome assembly.
AGCUAUGAAAUGCUCUGUUUCAUAAAUAUGUAAACAACCCGAGAUCCACUGAGGUAAAUAUGUUCUGUGCACUGAGAGCAUCACCCAACAACCACAUCCCUCCUAUAGAGAAUCCCCUGAGAGCCCAGCUCCUCACCAUGGACUGGGCCUGGAAGAUCCUCUUCUUGGUGGCAGCAGGUACAGGUGCCCACUCCCAGACGCAGCUGGUGCAGUCAGGGGCUGAGGUGAAGUUUCCUGGGGCCUCAGUGAAGGUCUCCUGCAAGGCUUCCAGAUACACCUUCACCUACCGCUACAUGCACUGAGUGCAACAGGCCCCUGGACAAGGGCUUGGGUGGAUGGGAUGGAUCACACCUUACAAUGGUAACACCAACUAUGCACAUAAGUUUGAAGGCAGAAUCACCAUUACCAGAGACAGGUCCAUGAGCACAAUCUAUAUGGAGCUGAGGAGCCUAAGAUCUGAGGACACAGCUGUAUAUUACUGUGCAAGAUACACUGUGUGAAAACCCACAUUCUGUGAGUGUCAGAAAACCCAGGGAGAA